UAGUGAUAGAUUAUUGACGUUGCUGUUGUUCAAGGUAUUAGAGCCUGAUGGUGUCGCAGUCAGGUUAGCAAUCACGGUGGAAGGGCGUGUUUGAGUCUGGUUGGCGGUUAUGUUGGGAGGGUUUGUCUGGGUCAGGUUGGCGGUUAUGUUGGGAGGGUUUGUCUGGGUCAGGUUGGCGGUUAUGUUGGGAGGGUGUGUCUGGGUCAGGUUGGCGGUUAUGUUGGGAGGGUGUGUCUGGGUCAGGUUGGCGGUUAUGUUGGGAGGGUGUGUCUGGGUCAGGUUGGCGGUUAUGUUGGGAGGGUGUGUCUGGGUCAGGUUGACGGUUAUGUUGGGAGGGUUUGUCUGGGUCAGGUUGGCGGUUAUGUUGGGAGGGUGUGUCUGGGUCAGGUUGGCGGUUAUGUUGGGAGGGUUUGUCUGGGUCAGGUUGGCGGUUAUGUUGGUAGGGUUUGUCUGGGUCAGGUUGGCGGUUAUGUUGGGAGGGUGUGUCUGGGUCAGGUUGGUGGUUAUGUUUGGAGGGUUUGUCUGGGUCAGGUUGGUGGUUAUGUUGGGAGGGUAUGUUUGGGGCAGGAUAGCGGUUAUGUUGGGAGGGUGUGUUUGGGUCAGGUUGGUGGUUGUGUUGGGAGGGUUUGUCUGGGUCAGGUUGGUGGUUAUGUUGGGAGUUUGUGUUUGGGGCAGGUUGGUGGUUAUGUUGGAAGGGUGUGUUUGUGUCAGGUUAGCGGUCAUGUUGAAAGGGCCCAUCUGGGUUGGGUUUGUGGUCAUAUUAAAAGGGCUCAUCUGGUUCGGGUUUGUGGUCAUGUUGAGAGGGCCCAUCUGGGAUAGGUUUGUAGUCAUAUUAAGAGGGCCUGUCUGGGUAAGGCUGGUGGUUAUGUUAUGAGGACCCAUCUGGGUUGGGUUUGUGGUCAUGUUAAAAGGGUUCAUUUGGUUGGGGUCUGUGGUCGUGUUUAAAGGGCUCAUCUGGUUCGGGUUUGUGGUCAUAUUGAGAGGGCCUAUCAGGGAUAGGUUUGUAGUCAUAUUAAGAGGGCCUAUCUGGGUAAGGCUGGUGGUCAUGUUGAGAGGACCAAUCUGGGUUGGGUUUGUGGUCAUGUUAAAAGGGCUUAACUGGUCGGGGUUUGUGGUCAUGUUGAGAGGGCCCAUCAGGGAUGGGUUUGUAGUCAUAUUAAGAGGGCCAGUCUGGGUAAGGCUGGUGGUCAUGUUGAGAGGACCCAUCUGGGUAAGGUUAAGGUUUAUGUUGGGAGGUCCUGUUUGAGUUAAGUUUGAAGUUAUGUUGAAGGGACCGACCUGGUUUAGGUUGGUGGUCAUGCUGGGUGGGUUCGUCUGGGUCAGGUUGGUGGUAAUGUUGGGUGGUAGUGUCUGGGUCAGGUUGGUGGUCAUGUUGGUUGGUAGCGUCUGGGUCAGGCUGGUGGUCAUGUUAGAAGAUAUCCAGCUGUCUGUAGAGUUGCUACUGCUUGUUGUAUUGCUCCCAUUGACUCCAAGCAUCAUGCAUGCUAUCCCCAGGAUAGCCACAUAAAUCCAUUUACUCCUCAUCCGUGAUCUUUAUGUGCUUAUGUAUCUGUUAAUCGUGCAGUUUUUGUUACCUAUAAUUUAAAAGAAAACAAAUCAUCUUGUAUAAUCAACAAAAAAAAAUAAACAUUUUGGAUAAUUUAAAUUUGAUUUUAAAAGCCAUUAACGAAAGGCAGGCUUUAUCUGAAAGACUUUGUCGUUCAUAAUCUUUUAUCAUUCCUUCCCAGACACAAACAAGCAUGAACCUGGAUCCUCAAUUCAUCAACACCUUAGUUUAUUUACCACAUCUUAUUUAGCAAUAUGGUAUUCAUAAAUAUUAUGGCAUUUUAACAAUUUAACCUUAACACUAACAUACGAGUUUUGCUUAAUGUCUUUUCAUUUCUUUAUCUCAGCAAUGGUUGUUUGUUUGAUGGAACUAAGAGGCUAUCUAUGCAAUCUUCAAAUAAUUCUUGUUACACAACAUUAUAUACUACACAGUGCAACCAUUUAACCUUCUUACUAUGGUAAAGUGUAAAAUUACAGAAUUUGAUAGAUCCUCAAAAUCCAUCCUCAAAACUAAGUGAGCAUAAAAAAAUAAAAUUUUUGCAACUAAAAACUUUUUUUUUUUAAUGUAUGCUUUAGAAGUCAGUGGCUCCUUAGUCAUUCCAUAGUCUCUCGAAAAGUUGGGUCGUUCAGACAGGAUAGCACCGUCCAAUAACACAAAGUAUUUUUAUUUUUUUUCCAGAGUAGACACAACAUUUUGUAAAAAUGUACCAAAAAUUAAAUAAUACAUAAUUGACUUCUAUUUUUAUAACUAAUUUGAAUUAUAAUAUAAAGAUAAAAUAUAUUCAAUUGAUAGGCUAUCUAAUAUUCAUUCAGUACAAUGCAUAAUAAGAUUUGUAAUUUAUGAUCAAACUCAGAUAAAAUAAUAAAAAAUAAAAAAAAACAGCAUGCAUUGGUAUCUGAACAAACAGGAAAAAACAG
Cyprinus carpio carpio is the source of this 2463-nucleotide long non-coding RNA. The record is from Ensembl. Lineage: Eukaryota; Metazoa; Chordata; Actinopteri; Cypriniformes; Cyprinidae.